AUAAUUUGGAACUGAAAUUUAAAGAUUGGAAAGAGUUUUGGAAGCAAGAUGGGCUGCCUGUAGUUUAAGGUUAACUCUAGCUGUGUGGCGUGCUUAUCCAGUGCUAUAUUACUAUUUUCACUGAAAUCAAAAGUACUUAGGUAUGGCUGCCCAUCUUGAAAAACAGGCAGAUCAGUGGAGAGGCUCGUGUCAGCUCCGGGUUGCUUCUCUCACCUCUCCCGGCAGAGCAAAAACCUUGCAAGUUCCCCUCCCUUCAGGAAAUGGCUCCUGGGCAGCAAAGAGAAACAGGAUUCAACCAGGCUGCUUCUCUGCUG
Non-coding RNA from Notechis scutatus (mainland tiger snake), 314 nucleotides. Lineage: Eukaryota; Metazoa; Chordata; Lepidosauria; Squamata; Elapidae. The record is from RefSeq and is a predicted model, not a curated record.